This 589-nucleotide ribosomal RNA is filed under the name uncultured bacterium. Its description in RNAcentral is "bacterial SSU rRNA". It matches the Rfam family "Bacterial small subunit ribosomal RNA", at positions 338 to 945 of the family's 1533-position model. The record is from RNAcentral.
CCUACGGGAGGCAGCAGUGGGGAAUCUUGCGCAAUGGGCGAAAGCCUGACGCAGCCAUGCCGCGUGAAUGAUGAAGGUCUUAGGAUUGUAAAAUUCUUUCACCGGGGACGAUAAUGACGGUACCCGGAGAAGAAGCCCCGGCUAACUUCGUGCCAGCAGCCGCGGUAAUACGAAGGGGGCUAGCGUUGCUCGGAAUUACUGGGCGUAAAGGGAGCGUAGGCGGACAUUUAAGUCAGGGGUGAAAUCCCGGGGCUCAACCUCGGAAUUGCCUUUGAUACUGGGUGUCUUGAGUAUGAGAGAGGUGUGUGGAACUCCGAGUGUAGAGGUGAAAUUCGUAGAUAUUCGGAAGAACACCAGUGGCGAAGGCGACACACUGGCUCAUUACUGACGCUGAGGCUCGAAAGCGUGGGGAGCAAACAGGAUUAGAUACCCUGGUAGUCCACGCCGUAAACGAUGAUUGCUAGUUGUCGGGAUGCAUGCAUUUCGGUGACGCAGCUAACGCAUUAAGCAAUCCGCCUGGGGAGUACGGUCGCAAGAUUAAAACUUAAGGAAUUGACGGCUGAGACGNGCGAGACGACGACGAGGAGAG